UUCCUCUCUUGACCAAUCAGCUCUCAGGAGUGGGAAACCACUCAACAGUCUUUGCCUAUGCUGCCUCAUGAUUGGUUGAUCACUGCCAUGGGAGAAGCCAAAACCUGAUUGACAGAAACAGAUCUACUGCCUCAAGGACUCCACUACCCAGACUACCCUGGGGGAAUGAAGGAGAAACCAUCCAUCAUUCUCUCGCUCCUCAUUCCUGCAGGAGCUCUGCCUGUCUGUCUGUCUGUCUGUGCAUUUUGGCAGCCCAGGGGAGUCAGAAGUGAAACUCACAAUAAAUAAAGACAGCAGGAAACUGAUUUGUGGUGCUCAAAACAAGGUAGUUAUUUAAGAGGUUAGGGGGAAAGGUUCAACUGAAAGGCCUAUCAGGUAACUGGUGGGUCACACUGUGUCCGGCGUGGCGGCUCCUCCAACAGCCUGUGUUAAUGAACAAAACAAAAUAGAGAGAGAGAGAGAGAGAGAGAGAGAGAGCGAUGAGUCCGCAGAUUCACCCCUUGCUCUCAACCCAGGAAUAGGUCCCCUUCCUUUGGGGCAAAGAACAGGAAGACAGAGAAACAGGUGAGUCAAACAUUGCCUAGUAUCUCCUUUGUCGUUGGAUCGAAGUGCUUAUCAUACCCACUCCAGUUCUUCUGAGGACUAGAUGUCGUACCCUCUGCCUGUCUGCUCAACCGCCCGCGUGGGCUAGACGUACCCUCUGCCUCAGUGGCAGAACUAGAGUUUUAUACAUGGGAUGGCCAAGGCUACUUCAGGGGGUCCAUAGAACAUACCAGUAAAUUAGUGUUUAACCCUAACCUGGCAUCUAAGGAGCUAGGUAGAAGUGAUCAUUCGAGGUAGAAGUGAUCAUUCACUGAACCCGGAGUUCUUCAAUGUGGCAGAUAGUGAGGUCCAUAAGGGUUACUUCACUAGAAUUCAAUGUGAGGUCCAUAAGGGUUACUUCACUAGAAUUCAAUGUGGCAGAUAGUGAGGUCCAUAAGAGUUACUUCACUAGAAUUCAAUGUGGCAGAUAGUGAGGUCCAUAAGGGUUACUUCACUAGAAUUCAAUGUGGCAGAUAGUGAGGUCCAUAAGAGUUACUUCACUAGAAUUCAAUGU
Long non-coding RNA from Oncorhynchus tshawytscha (Chinook salmon), 1096 nucleotides. The record is from Ensembl. Lineage: Eukaryota; Metazoa; Chordata; Actinopteri; Salmoniformes; Salmonidae.